GUAAAAGUGACACACAUUCCACAAACCGGGCAGGGGAGCACCUUUAUUGUAAAUCAACAAUUUCUCAGUGUGAUAGCUAUUCUUGCUUAUCAACUUGACUACAUCUGGACAGUCCUGUGAAGGAUUUUUCUUGAUUGGAUCACUUGAGGUGCAUUUGUGUCUUUUGGGAAAUGGGCCAAGUAAAUAACUGCUGUUGGAAGGGUUGGAUCACAGCCAGGCAUGGAAAGCAAGCACCUGCAACCCCCACACUUGGGAGACUGAGACAGGAGGAUCACUGUGAGUUGGAGGCUAAGCUGGGCUUCUUAAUUAAUUCCAGGCCAGGCUGAAAUAAGAAUGAUUGAGAUACUAUUACUAAAAACAAAACAAAGGCAAAAAUCAAACCCAAACCAAACAAAUUAG
Molecule: long non-coding RNA, 399 nt
Filed under: Cricetulus griseus (Chinese hamster)
Lineage: Eukaryota; Metazoa; Chordata; Mammalia; Rodentia; Cricetidae
Description: lncRNA (ENSCGRG00015029249.1)
Source: RNAcentral